This 433-nucleotide unclassified non-coding RNA is filed under the name soil metagenome. RNAcentral's name for it is "partial contains 5.8S ribosomal RNA, internal transcribed spacer 2, and large subunit ribosomal RNA". The stretch from base 1 to 120 matches the Rfam family "5.8S ribosomal RNA", at positions 35 to 154 of the family's 154-position model. The record is from RNAcentral.
GAUGAAGAACGCAGUGAAAUGCGAUACGUAAUGUGAAUUGCAGAAUUCAGUGAAUCAUCGAAUCUUUGAACGCAUAUUGCGCUCUCUGGUAUUCCGGAGAGCAUGCUUGUUUGAGUAUCAGUAAACACCUCAACUUCCAUAUCUUUUUUUGAAAUGGGAGUUGGACUUGAGUGAUCCCAACGCUUUUCCUCACCGAAAAGUGGCGGGUUACUUGAAAUGCAGGUGCAGCUGGACUUUUCUCUGAGCUAUAAGCAUAUCUAUUUAGUCUGCCUAAAAAACAGAUUAUUACCUUUGCUGCAGCUAACAUAAAGGAGAUUAGUUCUUGUGCUGACUGAUGCAGGAUUCACAAAGACAGCUUCGGCCGACUUUGUAAACUCGAUCUCAAAUCAAGUAAGACUACCCGCUGAACUUAAGCAUAUCAAUAAGCAGAGGA